This is a non-coding RNA of Callithrix jacchus (white-tufted-ear marmoset), 8141 nucleotides long. The record is from RefSeq and is a predicted model, not a curated record. NCBI's taxonomy places the organism in Eukaryota, Metazoa, Chordata, Mammalia, Primates, Cebidae.
UGUUCUUUCUGUUUGACUGGGGAAGGCUUUAGUCCAGCCCGUGAAAGUCUCUAAAGAUGAAGAGGUAUCUGAAUCCCUUAUGAGAGGGCAUGGGGGAGAGUCCUCCCAUGAAUAGGCUGGAGGAGGGCCAGGGGGUUCAUUGCACCCUCAGGAUUUCAUUGACAGCAAAUUGGGCAGAAUUGAGAAAUGUACCAUUGAGCUGGGGCUAGGUCAGGCCUGUGAGAAAGAGGGUCGAUUAAGGCUUGUAAAGUUUCUGCCCCCAGGUGGGUAGCUUGAUGGAGAUUUCAGAGGAUUUUCCAUUGUGGAACCUUGGGGAAGAGGAUUAUUUUGAGAGUUUCGAGGCCAUCCCUCAGGAGUGAAGGCGACACCCAGUUUUAGUGCCUUCUGUAAUGUUUGGAGUAUGCUGGGGUUUUGGGGGGUCAGGUGAGGAAUGAGGGCACCUGGAGAGGAGCUGAGCUGCUGAUAUAGUUUGUUUGUGUGCAUAAUUAUCCCCCCUGGCAGGAUGCAAGUUCUCUUUCUGAGGAGCCUGACAGAGAAGGGUUUUGCUGCCUCUGUUGGGAGACAUGUCUUCUAGCAAGGUUGAAAUUUCAGGGGCGUGGUGAAUGGGGGUGUCGGGGCUGUGAGAGACCCUCUCUCCUUCCCACAGCUGUGAGGGCGUGCAUCACAUGACACACACACAGGCUGAGUCAGUGGGUAAGUCACUUGGGCCUUAUUCCAGUGCCCGGUUACAGAGCUAUGACAAGGGCUAUUAGUUCAGCUUUUUGAGCAGGACCUGAUUCUGUGGCGUUAGUGAGGCUAACUGUGGCACAGCCUGACACUCUCCUAACAAGAGCCUCCCGCCAUCAGUGCACCCGGACUUUGUGCACAGCGUCCUGUAGAUCAGCCCUAGCAGUGCAGGUAAGAUCAGCAGUUUCUACACAAGAAUGUCCACGAGAAGCCGUAGGUUUUACACAGAGUUCAGGAGUUUGCAAAGCAAGUGAUUGGCGCUUAUGAAUUCUAUGAUCUGAAAUCCAAUAGAAGGCCUUAGAAUUUAGAAUAUCCAAGAUCUGAUGGGGUGGGGUUAAAACCAUCAAGGUUUGUCCUAGAGUUAGUUUUGAGACUACUUGUACUAAGAGGGCUACGGCUGCUAAGCUCAUAAGCGGGGCGCCGUCCUGGGUACCAAGGGAAGGGUUUAAAAACUAUGCUACAGGGCACUUAGAGGGCCCAGAUCUUGGGCUAAAACUCCCAAAGCGAUUCCCCUUCGUUCAUGAACAUGCAAGAAGAAAGGCUUGGUCAGGUCUGGCAGGGCUGAGGCCGGGGCUGAGAGUCAAGCCUGCUUUGAAGUCUCUAGAGCACGCUUCAUGCUAUCAGUCCACGUGAGACGCUGCUCCUCAGCUCCUUGGAGAGUUUCUUAGGAAGCCUUGGCUGUUAAUCCGAAGGAAGGAGUCUCCUAGGCAAACCCGCCACACCCUCACAGGACCGAAGCUGCUCUUCAGUUCCUGGAGUUGUCACGUUUAAGAUAAGAUCUUAUAUUUUACAUUUUAAUUAAUUUCAUUAAUUUAAUUUAUUUUUGAGACUGAGUCUCACUCUGUUGCCCAGGCUGCAGUGCAGUGGCGCGAUCUCGGCACACUGCAACCCCCACCUCCCAGGUUCAAGUGACUCUCCUGCCUCAGCCUCCUGAGUAGCUGGGACUACAGACACACACCAUCAUGCCCAGCUAAUUUUUUUUGUAUUUUUAAUAGCGAUAGGGUUUCACCAUGUUGGCCAGGAUGGUCUUGAACUCCUGACCUCAAGUGCUCUGCCCACCCUGGCCUCCCAAAGUGCUGGAUUUAUAGGCAUGAGCCGCUGUGCUGGGCCUAAGAUAAGAUCUUUACAAGUGCUAGAGAGGCUCUUUGUGCUGCGAGUUAAGAUAAGACCCCAAAUGGAAUGCCCUGUGUGGAUGUUUUCACCUUAGAAGGGGACGCUUUGUACCGAUAAUCUGUAAGUUUGUUUGGUGCUAAUACUGUACUUUGGUCUGUAACAGCUUUGCUAGGACUACAGAUUAGCAGGUCAUCGACACACUGGAGGAGGCUGCUGUCUGGGAGAAGCAGUGAAGACAGGUGGUCUUUAACUAGGGCCCGUCUAAAAGGCGGGGGCUAUCUCUGAAUCCCUGGGGCAGAACUGUCCAAGUUAACUGUCAGUUAUUUAGGUAUGUGGGUCUUGCCAUUCAAAAGCAAACAAAAAUUGGCUGAGUGUAAAGGAAUGCAGAACAACACAUUCUUGAGAUGAAGAACUGUAAACCGAGCUGUGGAGGAGGGAAUCCGUCCUCCGGGAACGGGAUGGGGGUUUGGGGCAGUAGGGGCCGUGGCGGAGGGAAUCCGUCCGGGAACGGGGUGGGGGUUUGGGGCAGUAGGGGCCGUGGCAGAGGAAAUCCGUCUGGGAACGGGGUGGGGGUUUGGGGCAGUAGGGGCCGUGGCAGAGAAAUCCGUCCAAGAACAGGGUGAGGGUUUGGGGCAUUUGGGGCCGUGGCGGAGGGAAUCCGUCCGGGAACGGGGUGAGGGUUUGGGACAGCAGGGUGAAUCGGAAUAGCAGCUUCGGGAGCAACCAUUCCAAGGUAGGGCCCUCUGGUUUCUUCACAGCUAAGGUGGAGCGUUGCAAGGUGACCUGCAUGGGCGGAGGCAUCCGUGGGUUACCCGUUUUGGUUAUUGGGGGCUUCAGCCCUUCUCAUGCUUCUGGUUUCAAGGGCUACUGGUGGGUUCUGGAGAACUUACUGGGAUGUUUAAGCCAAGUGAUGACAGGAGCAGAUGAUACUCAACAGCCAGGAAUAGAAGUUUCCCAAACCUCAAAUGGCACGUGUUUUAGAAAGUGAGGUUCUACAGACUGUAGCAGCCCUUUUGGUGAUGUGUGAGUUAACACAGCUAGAAGGUGAAGCCUCAGCUAUAAAUUAGCUUGUAAUUUUGUUAAGUCAUGCUCUAUGAAUGGAACAGUGCAGCUUGGCAGGACUAAAAAGGACUGAGUAAAGGAAGAGCCUUCAUCUUACAAGGGAGUGGUGGCGUGAAACAGCCUCAGUGGGGCUUUCCAUCCAUGCCCGUGAGGGAAAUGGAGGCUCGGCACACUGGACCACAGUAAACGUUUAAAACUGAAUAACUGGCCCCGUAUCUCUGAGGAACAUUGCCUCUUGUUCAGCCUCAGAUUUCCCCAAGGCUCCUCCCCAGAGGUGGAAAGGCUAUGGGCCUGGACGGCCUCAUGGCCCCGUCUGUCACCUGGAGGAUGGCUUUCAGAGGCUAGGUCAUCACCCAGGGAGAGGGUGAGAGGUGCCAGUUCUUGCCCUCAUCCUGUUGGGUAGGUUGGCAAGGUUGUGGCUGUGAUGGCCAAGAGGAAGAGGUGCCCCUCCCCUCUUAGUGACCUUCUUGGUAGCAACGAGGACACGGUCCUGGAGGCGUCUUGUAACCCAGCGGUUUGAGACAUUGUUUAUGCCAGUGUCCUGGAUUCCUGCAACAGUGACAGGCCCCUGUUCUGUGAAUGUUACAGGGACAAGCCUUGGGGUUGUUCAGGAAUGGAAAAGAACCUGCCAAUACUGUCGCCGUGUCCUCCUCCAGUGGAGCCUCUCUUAUUUCUGAUGUUUCCUCUUGGUUACGGAAAACCGUAAAGGCUGCGUGCGGUAAAGCAGGGAAGGGAGUCUGUGGGCCCUGCUCUGAUUCUGGAGCUUUUGUCCGACGUCUUAGGGAAGCUUGACGUAAACCGUGAGGCCAGGAUGGCCUGGCCCUCAGCACCUCUGGAGUCUGAGUCUCCAGGUUUACACAUGGCCCACACCAGGCUUGCUUUGGAAACGGCAGGGUUCCCAGAUGGUUCCUGAGUGAUUUCUCAUGUUUAGAAAAAUUAACAGGUUUAUUAGAGGCUUUUUCACUCCUUCCAACAAGCAAGUCGUGACAUAACCUUGUCUGCCCCUGCCUCUGUCUGCGCCACUUCGGCAGCCUGGUAUUGCCAGUGGGUCCUGUGUUGGGGACAGAGUCUUCCCAGCUCUCGUUACGGUGAUGAGCAUGAACUUUAUCUGCCCCAGCUGGAGCUGAAGACCGUAUGUGUGAUUUUUCUUCGUGAGAACAAGUAAUUACUACCAUGAAUACGUCUCGCCAGGUUGAGCCAGAGGCAAUAUGGAAGCUGCAGAUUCUUGAAUGAACUUAGUAGGAUCCUGGCUAAAUGAACCCAGCUGGGAUUCGAGGAAGAUCAGACACUGGAAAAGGGACAUGAACUCACAUCGUUCCUACAUCUCCAUUGGCCAUCUUGUGGAGAGGAAGAACACGGGUUUGCUGAGGACUCUGUGCUGGUGGCAUCUGUGACUCCUGUAAUUUUUUGUGGGUCAAAAUUCGACCAGUUUUGAAGAAGUCAAUCCAACGGGGAGUGCAAUGGAACCGAAGAAUGAGUUGGGCCCAUGUUGGGUUUAGAUUGGGGAGUACAAGACUCCUGAGGUGUCCCCGAGGAACUUGGACCUCGCCCCUCCGGCUCCCUCUGUUUGGGGGUGCCCACCACAGCUGGAGGGCCUGCCCUUGCCUGGAUGACCCCUCCAGGCUGCUUCUCGAAUUCCUUCCUGAGCAAAGCCAGGAAUGUUCCCCGCAUGAGAAAGGAGAUAGCUGAACACAGGCACAGAGACAGCAGGGCGGUGCAGCUGCAUGGAGGACUCCGGGGCUGCCGGUGACCACCAGAACCUAGAGGAGGCCAGGAGGGACCCCCAUCCCCAGAGGCUUCAGAGAGCGUGGCCCUGAGAACACCUUCACUUUGGACUUCCGGCUUUCAGAAAUAAGCGAGAAAAGGCUUUUGCUGUUUGACGUAACCCAGCCUGAGGUCAUUUGCUGUUGCGGUCUCAGGAAGCGGAGCAGCACAUCCACGAGUUCCUCAUGCCUGCGUUCACGGAUGGCCUCUGUCAUCACCUGCAAGAGCCGGCUGCCACAGAGUGCCGGCCACCGUCCUCGCCAACUCCCGUCUCUCCAGGGCCCUCCAGCUUCAUGCUGGUCACUGGCCUGUGCCCAGCCUGUCAGAGUCGCCAGCAUCUCUUUGACACCCUCUCCUUGUUCCUUCCGCUCUGAAGCCUCCUAAGACUUUUGAGACUGAUCCAGCACGUGCACACAUGUGGGAAUGCUUCUUCGGCCACACCAACCUGCAGGAGGACACAAUUCUGAGGAAGAACUGGGCGCUGUGCGGAGCUCAGACCAUGGCAGGAACGCGCAGUGCCCCGUGGCCGCCCGCUCAGUGGCGGGGGCUGAGUGGCCGGAGGAAGGCAGGCAGGUGCCCACGGCAGCCCCAGCCCGUGCCUGUGCCUGUGAAAACUUUUAAAACACUCGACUCUUCAUAGAAAAACUUAGAAACAGCCCCUCAUGGCAGGCAAGGCACCAGCCCUGCCCGGUUCCGCCCUCCCGAGUGUGACCCUCAGCGAGGGCUCCAGCCCCAGCUGCUCUGCUGGACCUGGUGGUUCCGCAGGGGCCGGCACGAUCAUGCCAGUGAGAAGAGCGUCUCAUCAAGCUGGGUUUUCCUUCGUGUGCGGGCCGCGCCCACUCACGAGCCUCUCCACCUGGAAUUCCGCCCUGUGGAGGGGGAUGUCCACGCCCACACUGGCCUGCAUCUCAGGGAUUUUAUGAGCAUCGGCGGGUGUAACCUGCCACAGUGAAACCCGCCCAGUUGUCCCAUAGACGGAUGUUGAUGGUUUCUUUUGAAUAAACAUGGAAAUUGGCUCUCCCAGUCUUAAAACUUGAGAAAGCUACAUUUGUCUUAUCUGAAUUCUUUCCUCAGGAAACUGGCCCUCAGCCCUCCCAGGCAGUAGGAGGGAAUGGAGAUUCAAAGGUCACGGAUCUAGACAAAGAGGUGCCAGCGCCUUCCCCAUCGUGGCUGCCUGACCGGCCACCUGCUUCCUCCUGGCCAGCUCUUCUUCCUCACUCUCUAAUUCCUGUUUUCCUGCAUGUAGUUACAUUUCUGCCACGUAGACCUCUCGUUUCAGUUGAUCAGGGCAGUGGAUUUGAGACGCGUCUCCCACCUCUUUGGUUAAAACGUUCUUACUGGCUUUCUGUGUGGCGAGCGGCAGGACCGAGACCAGACUCCUGGCGUUUUGGUGACAGGAGAACACUCGGGAAACUACAGUACAAAUCAGCUCAGCCCCAAUGCCGAUGAGAAGCUGGCGGCCUUGCCCAUCUCAAGGAUUUUCCCAGGAAAAUCAAUUCGAUGCCUACUUGAGAUGUACUUUUAAAACUGAUUUUUAAAACAAUAAAAGUAUUAUGUGCUCAUUGUAAAUACUUUCAAAACAUCAACAUACAUUGUUAAAAAAAAAGUAAAUGACUUAAAACCCUCUAUUUAGAUGAGCCCACAUUUUUUGUUUUUGAGACAGGCUUGCUCUCUUGCCCAGGCUGGGGUGCAAUGGCUCAAUCUUGGCUUAUUGCAACCUCUGUCUCCCCAGUUCCAGCAACUCUCCUGCCUCAGCCUCCCACGUAGCUGGGACUACAGGCGCACGCCACCAUGCCCAGCAAAUUUUGUAUUUUUAGUAGAAACUGCAUUUCACCUUGUUGGCCAGGCUGGUCUUGAACUCCUGACCUUGUGAUCUACCUGCCUCAGCCUCCCAGAAUGCUGGGAUUACAGGUGGGAGCCACUGCGCCUGGCCAGAGCCCACUUUACGACGGUAGGUGUGUGUCACUUUCUCAUGUUUGUUUUGCCACGUUUUUGUCCAUAUAGUUGAAAUCAUUCAGUACACACUGAUAUUUGAAUGGAAAAAACACCAGAACUUUCUUGGGCCUCAGUGAAAGUAACAGAAAGGACAGACUGGUGCUGUGCCCUGUCUGGCCCUGGUGGGUUUAUGAGUCGCUACUAUUCCACAACAUUUUAAGAAGAAACAACUGAAGUCAUCUCAUAGCGCUUAAAGAGGCAGCCCGGCUACCCGUAUGCAUCGGAGUGAUGUAGGGAUGUUUUACCAAGACAUUUCCAGGGUGAAUCUCUUUUCUUUGGAUCUGCUGGGCACCAAGAGAGCAGUUUAUCAUCCUCGUGUAGGGAAGGGUGACAGGCAGGCCGGGUGCUCCCUCCUGGAUUUUGGGGGUCCCCACCACUCUGGUGGAUCGAGGGGCCACUAUGCCUAAGCUGUCUGUGCAGACAAGCGGUUCUGCUGGGCACCUGGUUUCCUCCCAGGGUUCUGGGACCCGCAGGGAUGCCAGGUGGAGGGUGCAGCACGACCAGUCCUGGCUCUGAGGCACUGAAGGGCUUCCCUGGUUGGGAUAUGUCACACGCGCCACCAUAACAUGGUGCUGGGGAACGGCGCGUCCCGUGGGCUGCACCCGGAGAGGACGCUGGAAGCUCGCGUGAGUUUCCUCCAUGCUCUGCCCCGCGCCUUGCCCAGGACCCACUCUGUGUGUGUGUGUGUGUGUGUGUGUGUGUGUGUGUGUGUCUUUUCCUUGUAACAAGUGGAAGACUAGUGAGUCCUCUUGGAGAAUCGUCAGCCUGGAACCUGGCAAACCUGUGCAGCCACCUGUUUCCAGCUCAGGCAGUAGUGUGGCUUCCCUCAGCUCCGUGGAUUCUCGGGUAGAGCCACGGUCAGAGCCCUGUGUGCUGACAACCUUCCUUUCCCGUCCUGGGAGAGUGCUGAGGUUUUGCUUCAUUAAUUCAUAUUUUUGUUUAUUCACCAUCAUUUAUUGAUGAUCUUCUCUGGAUCAAUAGUAGGAGAGUAAAUGGUCAUGAAUAAAACAGUGAAAACACACAGGCUCCAGUGUGCCGGCCCAGGAGUAGGGGCCCGAGCAACUGCACAGCAGGGCCUCAGAGGAGAGAUGAACAACCGCACAGCAGGGCCUCAGAGGAGAGAUGAACAACCACACAGCAGGACCACAGAGGAGAGGUGACAACCACACAGCAGGGCCUCAGAGGAGAGGUGAACAACCGCACAGCAGGACCUCAGAGGAGAGGUGACAACCACACAGCAGGGCCUCAGAGGAGAGAAGAACAACCGCACAGCAGGACCUCAGAGGAGAGAUGAACAACCGCACAGCAGGGCCUCAGAGGAGAGAUGAACAACCACACAGCAGGGCCUCAGAGGAGAAGUGAACAACCGCACAGCAGGGCCUCAGAGGAGAGGUGACAACCACACAGCAGGGCCUCAGAGGAGAGGUGACAACCGCACAGCAGGGCCUCAGAGGAGAGAUGAACAACCACACAGCAGGGCC